UGGGGAAUUUUGCACAAUGGGGGAAACCCUGAUGCAGCGACGCCGCGUGAUUUAGAAGGCCUUCGGGUUGUAAAAAUCUUUUCUAUGGGAAGAAAAUGACAGUACCAUAGGAAUAAGGACCGGCUAAUUCCGUGCCAGCAGCCGCGGUAAUACGGAAGGUCCGGGCGUUAUCCGGAUUUAUUGGGUUUAAAGGGAGCGUAGGCUGUCUAUUAAGCGUGUUGUGAAAUAUACCGGCUCAACCGGUGGCUUGCAGCGCGAACUGGUCGACUUGAGUAUGCAGGAAGUAGGCGGAAUUCAUGGUGUAGCGGUGAAAUGCUUAGAUAUCAUGACGAACUCCGAUUGCGCAGGCAGCUUACUGUAGCAUAACUGACGCUGAUGCUCGAAAGUGCGGGUAUCAAACAGG
Molecule: ribosomal RNA, 403 nt
Filed under: Verrucomicrobiota bacterium
Lineage: Bacteria; Pseudomonadati; Verrucomicrobiota
Description: Verrucomicrobia bacterium partial 16S ribosomal RNA
Rfam family: Bacterial small subunit ribosomal RNA
Source: RNAcentral